Long non-coding RNA from Ailuropoda melanoleuca (giant panda), 2400 nucleotides. RefSeq lists it as uncharacterized. The record is from RefSeq and is a predicted model, not a curated record. NCBI's taxonomy places the organism in Eukaryota, Metazoa, Chordata, Mammalia, Carnivora, Ursidae. The transcript is spliced from 3 exons.
UGAGAUCAUGACCUGAGCUGAAAUCAAGAACCCAGCGCUUUACUGACUGAGCCACCAAGGUGCCCCUCAAGAGCAUUUUUAAUAUGGGUCUUUGGGUUCUAAGGCUUUGUAUGUGUAGAAAUAUUUAUUAUGCCACCUUAUUUGAAUAAAAUUCAGAUGUUAUGAAGUUCUAGGUUCAAGCUUCACCACUAUAAAAUAUUGUUUUCGUGCAUCCAUCAACGGUAUUGAAAAUUGUGAUGUCAAUCUGAUUUUUAUUCUGUCACAGAAUAAGAUAUCUUAUAAGAUAUAAUAAGAAUAUAAUAAGAAUCUAUGACCCUUCAGCAGAUUUCUCUGUCCUGUUAUAAUGGUUCUAGGUGUGGAGUCUUUCUUACUGCUUCUGUUUGGCAGUCUUUGAGCCCUUUAUUCUGAGGCCUUUCAUCUCUCUGUAAUAUUGGAAAAUUCAUUACUCACCAUUUCCUCAAAUAUUUAUUCUUCUCUUACACUCUCUCUCUCUCUCACACUGCAAGACCUCUUAUUAUCCCGAUGUCAAUGCUUCUAUUUCUAUCCUCCAUUUUGUUGGACUCUCUUCUAUAUUUUCCACACCUUUCUUCCUUCCUGAUCUCUUCUGGAACCUUCUUCUGUCUUAGCUUCCUCUUCACUGGUUCUGCUUCAGCUCUAUCCGUCCUGCUACUUAUGCCAUCCACAGUAUUUGCCACGUAGAUUGUUAUCUUUUAAACUUUUACUAUUAUCUCUUCAUUUUUUAUGAAUUAUCGGUUUUGCUUUAUAAUGUUGGUAUCUUCUACUAUUUUGUUAAGUGUAUUUACCAUCUUACUUUAAGUUCUUUUUUUAUACUUUUGUCACUUCUGCAUUAGAUAGUAUAUGGUGCUCAAUUUGUUAUUUCUGUUUUGCAGCAGGUUUAGCCCUUAGCUGUCUAAUUCUGUUGGUCUGUGGGCUCACGUCUCCAGGGGGGUAACAGCUAGUUUGUGGGGGUGAUGUGAAAGGGGGAAGGGAUGAAGGUCCGACCAUGAUGGUCUGUGUCCUUCCAGGCCCAGUCCUGGAAGAGAACUCAGAAACACUGUGAGUCUCCCUAGUUGCAGCUACUCAGUCAACUCUAAGGAAUAGCACAACUGGGAGCAGGCAGGCUCUCUGGGAGCGGGGGCCAUGAUGGCAGGUAAUGGAGAAGUGGAUACCCGAGGCUAACACCUAAUGUCUUUAGCUCCUUGACCUAGCAAGGUACAGGGGCUCUGAUUUCUGUUUAUGUGUAAAGCGGAGGCAGUGAUGUCACGAGGAAACUGUGAAGGAGAUAAGAGUAAAAUUCAAAAGGUCUUCCUGCAGUCGGCCCUCCUAUUGCUGCCCUCCGCACUCCCACACACAACGGUUCAAGAUGGCAGUUCCGUCUCUUGGCAAGUUCUAAACAUUUUAUAUUUGUUGUUGCCAUUGUUGUUGGUACCCCAAAUGCUUGUUUCCCUUUGCUUCUAUAAACUCACUAAAAUGAACUCUGGGUAAGGGAGCCGGGAGGCCGAACCUACUUAUUUGCCAUCUCAGCAGGAAAUAGAAGAUUUAUUUCUGGUUCUCAAAGGACAGAGGGACAGGUGACGCCCAAUGGCUUGCAGUCAGAAGCUUCCUGAUCACCGGAGUCUCAUAUCUGUGACCAGGACCAGUCUGCUGUCAUGCCUGUGCCAAGGGUCUCUCUUCCUGGUGCCAAAUGGGGUGAUGAGUGGGAAUUCUGGUCUGUCUCUGCUCCAGUGACAGGAGAGAAAGGAGACAUGGAGAGUCACGAGGUAAGGGUGUGUGUGUGGCAUGGAGUAGGAGAGAUGUUUGUGUUGUGCACGUAGUGUGUACUCCAUUGAGCACUUUCUGGGUGUACCUUCAGGGGUGUUUUACUUUGCAGAAUCCAAGAAGAGUACUUCAGUGGUUCCUUUCCAGGGAGAUACUGACUAGUUUUGGGGGAGGCUGUAUGAUGAGGCUACAUCACUCUGAUAGAGGGUAUUGGCCUUGUGGCCUUUAAGAUGUGUUUGGCUGUGUCUUCCUUUUCUCUAAUUUAGAAGCAUCUGUAGGACUUAGGAAUUCUUUCACAUUAGCACUUUUAAGCCACCCUAGCACCAGUGUUCGGAACCCUCAAAGCAAUCUGCUGCAGCUAUCUCUAGCUGGUCCUGUGGCUUCCUAUCUUCUCAUUGGCCUCUGCUCCGGUUCCUCUCCUCACUUCCUCUUGGAUGGCAGAUGCAUCUUCCUAUGCGGCAAUGCUUGGCAGCAGACGCACAGCAAAUGCUUGUAGAAUUGACCGUGUUCUUCGUAUUUGAAGGUUAAAGAAGAUAGAAGGUUUUUCUCGCAUCCAAAUUUCUCUGGACGGAAUUGGAACAGAAAUGAAAUCAUGAGAGAGAGACAGCCAGCGAGAGAGGGAACACAAGCAGGGGGAGUGGG